RNAcentral lists this ribosomal RNA (301 nucleotides) under uncultured bacterium. RNAcentral describes it as "partial 16S ribosomal RNA". It matches the Rfam family "Bacterial small subunit ribosomal RNA", at positions 509 to 809 of the family's 1533-position model. The record is from RNAcentral.
CAGCCGCCGCGGUAAUACGAAGGGGGCUAGCGUUGUUCGGAAUUACUGGGCGUAAAGCGCGUGUAGGCGGCUCAGCAAGUCCGCUCUGAAAGCCCAGGGCUCAACCCUGGGAUGCGGGUGGAUACUGCUGAGCUCGAGUCCGGAAGAGGCGAGUGGAAUUCCUGGUGUAGCGGUGAAAUGCGCAGAUAUCAGGAGGAACACCAAUGGCGAAGGCAGCUCGCUGGGACGUGACUGACGCUGAGACGCGAAAGCGUGGGGAGCAAACAGGAUUAGAUACCCGAGUAGUCCCUGUCUCUUAUAU